CCUACGGGAGGAGGCAGCAGUGGGGAAUAUUGGACAAUGGGCGAAAGCCUGAUCCAGCCAUGCCGCGUGUGUGAAGAAGGUCUUCGGAUUGUAAAGCACUUUAAGUUGGGAGGAAGGGCAGUAAGCGAAUACCUUGCUGUUUUGACGUUACCGACAGAAUAAGCACCGGCUAACUCUGUGCCAGCAGCCGCGGUAAU
This 197-nucleotide ribosomal RNA is filed under the name uncultured Pseudomonadota bacterium. RNAcentral's name for it is "uncultured proteobacterium partial 16S ribosomal RNA". It matches the Rfam family "Bacterial small subunit ribosomal RNA", at positions 338 to 524 of the family's 1533-position model. The record is from RNAcentral. Lineage: Bacteria; Pseudomonadati; Pseudomonadota.